UAAUACGUAGGUGGCAAGCGUUGUCCGGAUUUAUUGGGUUUAAAGGGUGCGUAGGCGGCCUUAUAAGUCAGUGCUGAAAUAUCCCGGCUUAACCGGGAGGGUGGCAUUGAUACUGUAGGGCUUGAGUGAAGUCGAAGUAGGCGGAAUUGACGGUGUAGCGGUGAAAUGCUUAGAUAUCGUCAAGAACACCGAUAGUGAAGACAGCUUACUAGACUUCAACUGACGCUGAGGCACGAAAGUGUGGGGAUCAAACAGGAUUAGAUACCCUGGUAGUCCACACUGUAAACGUUGAUGACUCGCUGUGUGCGAUAUACAGUACGCGGCUUAGCGAAAGCGAUAAGUCAUCCACCUGGGGAGUACGCCGGCAACGGUG
RNAcentral lists this ribosomal RNA (373 nucleotides) under uncultured bacterium. RNAcentral's name for it is "bacterial SSU rRNA". It matches the Rfam family "Bacterial small subunit ribosomal RNA", at positions 521 to 896 of the family's 1533-position model. The record is from RNAcentral.